GAACAAGCUUUUAAAGUUGAAUCAAAUAUGAAAAGAUCGAAAUGAGAAAAGGAGGAUAGGAAGAUGUCUAGGCUAGCAGGAACUCCAAGCGACCAGCAUGAAAACUUAGAGAAUAAUUCAAAUAAGAAGAAAAGAACAAACACUUGUAGCUACUGUGGUGGAAAUCACAUAUAGUGGACUUUGUUUUAAGAAACUUGGAAGGUGCUUCAAGUGUGGCA
Molecule: long non-coding RNA, 218 nt
Filed under: Elaeis guineensis (African oil palm)
Lineage: Eukaryota; Viridiplantae; Streptophyta; Magnoliopsida; Arecales; Arecaceae
Description: long non-coding RNA (EGUI_LNC018198)
Source: RNAcentral